CGACCACUCAAAGUUUCUUUCAAGCAAAUGAAUUCAAACCUCUUUGUCAGGAUUUCAGGCUAGGCAUUGGCAGUUGGAUUACUGAUAGCAGUGUAGCUAGGGAAGACUUAUCUUUUGGGGACUUUUAGCAGAUAUAACAUUAAAAGGAACUUUCAUUUUUUACAUUUGUAUUAAAUCGAAAAGUCCGUCGUUUACUAUUCCGAAGACUGGAUUACAUUUAAAAGAUGAAGAUUCUAUUUAGCAGUCUAUUCCUCGGAAUCUGUCUGUUGGUUUUAGUUUCAGAGACAGAAAGUUCAACAACAAAAGCAGCAGCUCCAGUUCCAGGUAAAUAUAUGCCAAAACAUUUAAAGAAAUUAAAAUGCCUUAAAAUAAGA
Molecule: long non-coding RNA, 374 nt
Organism: Mercenaria mercenaria
Lineage: Eukaryota; Metazoa; Mollusca; Bivalvia; Venerida; Veneridae
Exons: 3
Source: RefSeq, a predicted model, not a curated record